RNAcentral lists this ribosomal RNA (253 nucleotides) under uncultured bacterium. RNAcentral's name for it is "partial 16S ribosomal RNA". It matches the Rfam family "Bacterial small subunit ribosomal RNA", at positions 524 to 776 of the family's 1533-position model. The record is from RNAcentral.
GACGUAGGAUGCAAGCGUUGUCCGGAAUUAUUGGGCGUAAAGAGUUCGUAGGCGGUUGCCUAAGUCUGAUGUUAAAUACUGGAGCUCAACUCCGGCAUGGCAUUGGAAACUGGGCGGCUAGAGUGUGGUAGAGGUCUCGGGAAUUCCAGGUGUAGCGGUGAAAUGCGUAGAUAUCUGGAGGAACACCGGUGGCGAAAGCGCGAGACUGGGCCAUAACUGACGCUGAGGAACGAAAGCCAGGGGAGCGAAAGGG